Long non-coding RNA from Prionailurus viverrinus (fishing cat), 603 nucleotides. RefSeq lists it as uncharacterized. The record is from RefSeq and is a predicted model, not a curated record. The transcript is spliced from 2 exons. NCBI's taxonomy places the organism in Eukaryota, Metazoa, Chordata, Mammalia, Carnivora, Felidae.
UGGGCAGAAUGCUAGGAAUGUAAUGGCUUGGGGGGAUAGGUGGUGAUCUUUAAACUGUCCCUUUCUUUUAUAUAUUGUCACCAUAGCCAGAGUUGUAAAAGCCUUCCACAUAUGUAUCCUGCUUGGCCACUGUCCUGCCUAGCUGCCUGACCUCCUAAAUGAGGUAGCAGGAGAUGUGGCUGCACAUGGUGACACUCUAUUUGCCACUUGGCUGCAGGGACCAUUUUACAGUAUGCUGGGAGAGCAGGGCUGGAUGAAUGAAACAUUCCUAAUCAUAAUCAGAAGCUGCAGGUAACACCAAGAGCUUGCUAAGGCCCAAGGGACUCAUUUAUACCUUUGAAGACACUUCAAACUAUGGAAUGAUUAAGCAAGCUGUUUUCAUCUACAUCAAGUCACUUUCAGCAGACCUCUAACUGUGAGCAAAGAAUUGUGAAGACUGUUCUAGAGAGAAAUCAACACAGUUCAACCAAGCCAGCUUGUAAAUGCACUUCUUUGCCCCUCUAUGAACCAGCAUCUUUCAGUUAAUGCAGCUUUCAAAAGUAGUGUAUAUAAAUCACAUAUUAUGAGUAACAGCACAUAAAAAGACAGAUUUGAUAACCCACA